CUCCCUGUUACAUCAUAAUCUGCCGAGGAGUACCGAGUAUCAUCGCAAACUCUUUUUUCCAAGCACAUUAAUUAAAUAUAAAUGAAAACUUAUAUGAUUGAACAUUAAACAACUCUUUAUAUCUUUACACAAGAUAGUUUGAACACUUAAAACUCCUACAAGCACUGACUUCAAGGUUUCGUGAGAUGGUACCCCACCCCCUUUUUUCUCCUGCAUUGCCUAUACGGUAGUGUACUUGUAAAUAAUUGCCAAUAAUCAUUUACAAUUGGCAGUACAAAAUAAAAGACAGUAUAAUCAUAACUCCUUACCUUGUUAAAAUAGUCAAGUUAUGGUCAGUUAUGGUCAGUAGUAAACAGCAUGGCUUUUGACCUCGGGUUCUUUGUUUCGUCCUCCCGCUCAAAAAGUAUCACGUGAUAUGAAUGCCGUCUUCGGCCUAAAUGUGUUGUAAUUCUAAACAUGUUUAGGAAAGUAUCUAAAUGUUGAAAGUGCUUAGAAUUAAAACACGUUUAGCUUCAUAUACUUAACGAAGUAGCUAAACAUGUCUAGCACAGCAACAUGUUUACUGCCAAGUGCUGAAAGCUAUAACAUGCUUACUGCGAAGUGCUGAACGCCAAAACAUGUUUAUUUUUUAUGUUUAGAAAUUACUUGUGAAUUUGGAAAAAGUUGAUGGUAACAAUGUCAACGCAUUUGUAAAUGAAAUUGGAUUAAUUGUUUUAGAGUCUGCUAAGACAACGUUUGGAACACGAACUGAUAAACUAAAAAAAGCGAGCCCCUAAAAAGAAGGGAGACAAGCCAUGGUUUAAUUAUGACUGCAAAUUUUGCGUGGUAAAACUUUAGAAAGCUUAAGCGCAGGCUCAAAUUUUCACCUUCGCUUUCCUUAUAUAACGAAGUUAAAGAUUCUGAGAGGAAAUAUAAAAAAGUUAUGGACAAAGCCAUUAAAACUCAUAGACGUGAUAUGGCUAAAAAAUUAAAAAACCUCAGAUCUCAAAACUCAAAAGAGUAUUGGAAUAUUUUAAAUAAGCGGAAACACACGAAACAACCGGACAUCAAUUUUGAUAAUUUGCUUAAUUUUUUUCAGAGAUCUUAAUUCAGGCACCCCCGAUCCUAUUGAGUUACCAAAUGUAGAUCAAGAUGCUUUAAAAAUUAAUUUGAUUUAAAUGGUACACUUAAUAGUCCAAUUACAAAUGACGAGAUUAUGAAGUGUAUUAAGAAACUAAAAAGUAACAAAGCAUGUGGCGACGAUAUUUUCGAUGAAUUUUUAUUAAUAAAUUCAAAAUCUUUUGUGCAUUUGUGGAUUUUGAAAAAGCGUUUGACAGAGUCAGAAGAGACGCUUUAUGGUAUAAGAUGUUAUUGAAUAACAUUAAUGGUCAUAUGUAUAACAUAAUUCAUAAGAUGUAUGAUAAUAUUAAGUCAUGUUUAUCUUAUUAUGGCAAUAUAUCAGAUUAUUUUUCAUGUAAUAUUGGCCUACGUCAAGG
This 1475-nucleotide long non-coding RNA is filed under the name Mytilus galloprovincialis (Mediterranean mussel). The record is from RNAcentral. Lineage: Eukaryota; Metazoa; Mollusca; Bivalvia; Mytilida; Mytilidae.